Molecule: ribosomal RNA, 254 nt
Filed under: uncultured bacterium
Lineage: Bacteria
Description: partial 16S ribosomal RNA
Rfam family: Bacterial small subunit ribosomal RNA
Source: RNAcentral
UACGAAGGGGGCUAGCGUUGUUCGGAAUCACUGGGCGUAAAGGGUGCGUAGGCGGGUCUUUUAAGUCAGGGGUGAAAUCCUGGAGCUCAACUCCAGAACUGCCUUUGAUACUGAGGAUCUUGAGUUCGGGAGAGGUGAGUGGAACUGCGAGUGUAGAGGUGAAAUUCGUAGAUAUUCGCAAGAACACCAGUGGCGAAGGCGGCUCACUGGCCCGAUACUGACGCUGAGGCACGAAAGCGUGGGGAGCAAACAGG